RNAcentral lists this ribosomal RNA (497 nucleotides) under uncultured bacterium. Its description in RNAcentral is "partial 16S ribosomal RNA". It matches the Rfam family "Bacterial small subunit ribosomal RNA", at positions 28 to 507 of the family's 1533-position model. The record is from RNAcentral.
GAUGAACGCUGGCGGCGUGCCUAAUACAUGCAAGUCGAGCGAACAGAUGAGGAGCUUGCUCCUCAGACGUUAGCGGCGGACGGGUGAGUAACACGUGGAUAACCUACCUAUAAGACUGGGAUAACUUCGGGAAACCGGAGCUAAUACCGGAUAAUAUAUUGAACCGCAUGGUUCAAUAGUGAAAGACGGUUUUGCUGUCACUUAUAGAUGGAUCCGCGCCGCAUUAGCUAGUUGGUAAGGUAACGGCUUACCAAGGCAACGAUGCGUAGCCGACCUGAGAGGGUGAUCGGCCACACUGGAACUGAGACACGGUCCAGACUCCUACGGGAGGCAGCAGUAGGGAAUCUUCCGCAAAGGGCGAAAGCCUGACGGAGCAACGCCGCGUGAGUGAUGAAGGUCUUCGGAUCGUAAAACUCUGUUAUUAGGGAAGAACAAAUGUGUAAGUAACUAUGCACGUCUUGACGGUACCUAAUCAGAAAGCCACGGCUAACUACGUG